GGAUGCUCCGGUUGGAUGCAUGUCCUUCCGGGAAAGAUUCCAUCGGUAUGGGAUGGGGUCGCGUCCUAUCAGCUUGAUGGCGGGGUAACGGCCCACCAUGGCUUCGACGGGUAGCCGGCCUGAGAGGGCGACCGGCCACAUUGGGACUGAGAUACGGCCCAGACUCCUACGGGAGGCAGCAGUGGGGAAUAUUGCACAAUGGGCGCAAGCCUGAUGCAGCGACGCCGCGUGCGGGAUGGAGGCCUUCGGGUUGUAAACCGCUUUUGAUCGGGAGCAAGCCCUUCGGGGUGAGUGUACCUUUCGAAUAAGCACCGGCUAACUACGUGCCAGCAGCCGCGGUAAUACGUAGGGUGCAAGCGUUAUCCGGAAUUAUUGGGCGUAAAGGGCUCGUAGGCGGUUCGUCGCGUCCGGUGUGAAAGCCCAUCGCUUAACGGUGGGUCUGCGCCGGGUACGG
This 454-nucleotide ribosomal RNA is filed under the name uncultured Bifidobacterium sp. Its description in RNAcentral is "bacterial SSU rRNA". It matches the Rfam family "Bacterial small subunit ribosomal RNA", at positions 171 to 635 of the family's 1533-position model. The record is from RNAcentral. Lineage: Bacteria; Bacillati; Actinomycetota; Actinomycetes; Bifidobacteriales; Bifidobacteriaceae.